RNAcentral lists this ribosomal RNA (775 nucleotides) under uncultured Neocallimastigales. Its description in RNAcentral is "partial large subunit ribosomal RNA". It matches the Rfam family "Eukaryotic large subunit ribosomal RNA", at positions 23 to 640 of the family's 3401-position model. Lineage: Eukaryota; Fungi; Neocallimastigomycota; Neocallimastigomycetes; Neocallimastigales. The record is from RNAcentral.
AGAGAUGUGUGAUGACGCAUAUCAAUAAGCGGAGGAAAAGAAACUAACAAGGAUUCCCUUAGUAACGGCGAGUGAAGCGGGAAGAGCUCAAAUUUGAAAUCUUCAAGGUUCUACCUUGACGAAUUGUAGUUUAUAGAAGUGUUUUCUGUUAGUAGGAGUGGCAAAAGUUCUUUGGAAUAGGACAUCAUAGAGGGUGAGAAUCCCGUAUUUGGUCAUUCUUUCUAGCUUUGUGAUACACUUUCAACGAGUCGGAUUGUUUGGGAAUGCAGUCCAAAAUGGGUGGUAAAUUUCAUCUAAAGCUAAAUAUUGGCGAGAGACCGAUAGCGAACAAGUACCGUGAGGGAAAGAUGAAAAGAACUUUGAAAAGAGAGUUAAACAGUACGUGAAAUUGUCAAAAGGGAAGCGUUUGACACCAGCGUUGUUUUCUCGAAAAUCAAUUAAAAAUGGCGGGAUUUUGUGUUGUAUUGACUUUAUCAGCUUUCAGCACUUUUUUCCUGUCUUUUUUAAUGCACUUUUCGUUUAACAAGUCAACAUCAAUUUCUUUUGUUGUAAAAGGGUCAUUGGAAGGUGGCUUUCUUUUCAGAGAAAGUGUUUAUAGCCUUUGGCCUCUGCAAUCGGAGAGAUUGAGGUCUGCAGCGUAGAUCCUUCGGGGUUAGAUGCAUUUGUGCUAAGCUAUAGCCUUUCAUAGACAACUUGUUGACUAUGAUCAGUCAUGUAGCUUACUCGCUUAUGUCAUUUUACCUACGCUUAGGAUGUUGACAGCAGUAUAGACUGU